CCUGAGCCCAAGCGAUUGCCUGCCUUGACCUCCCAAAGUGUGGGAUUACAGCAUGCAGUCCCCUGCCUGUUACACAGCUGACCUUGGUAAAUAUUUUUGAAAGAAUAAAUGAACACAGCCCAAUUAGCGGAGAUAUGCCGAAAGAAACAGCCCAUCUUUGCCAACAUAUGCAGAGGGAGAGAAGCUCUUCUUGAAGAGGACCCACUUUCUUCUAGAGCAGCCACUCACAGCUCUCUCGACUCCUUGGACCCUCAGGGUUGGAGAAGACCCAGGGUUAGGAUAGCACUUUUGGGGGAGGUUUCAUUGACCUUGUUUUGAAAGAAUAACAUGUUGAAGAGCCAGGUGACUAGUUACAUUUUAUUGUGUACCUGCCAGUUGAAAAAAACAAGGUCAAAAACACAAAAGGAUAGAACAUGGCAAAACAUAUUGAUUAGACGGGGAAAGCAGAUGACACACAGGGACAGGACAUUUUAUUUUUAUCAUUCCAAAUUCAGAGAAAUAUAAUUAACUCCAUGCUCGGUUCACCUAAGUUUUUGUAGCAGAGGUGAACGUGACAGAUUGAGGCACAAAUUUGUUAAUGCUGAAUAUUGGGCAUUUCUUCUGUUAUUAUUUACUGGACAUAAUCUGAUGUCAUGUGAUAGACCAUGAUAUGUAAAUGACUUCACUCAGGAAAAAUGAUAACUUAUGUAACUUUAUCUGGCUUUAUUCUCUACACAUACUGAGAAGCAAACCCAUUAAUCACAGCCUAGGCAGAAACUCUUCAAGUAGUGUGUGAGACAAACAGAGGUAUUAAUUAUAUUUAUUAUGGUAAUAAUAUGCUUAACACUUCCUUCAAGGCAUGAUAGUUGCAGAAAUUGGGAAAAAUAAGAAUACUCUAGCAGACUUACAGAUACUCAGUGGCAGUAUCACAAAUAAUCAUAAUCACAAGAAUUUCAGAGAUGAGGAAGCAGAGAGAGAGGGAGAGAGGUGUUAACAAUUUGUUAAACAUCACACAGCUGGUAAGGAGUCUCUCUAAUUCCAAAGCAUGGCUUCUUUCCUCUACACAGCAGUGCCUCCUCAAUUAGAGAAUGUUAUAGUGUAAAAUCAUCAGAGGAAUAAUGUGAUUUCGAGUAAUUUUUAAAAUGAUAUUGUCUGGUCACUUAUUCUGGUUUUUCUGUUCUACAUAACAGUUAUGCACCCCAUAAGGACGUUUUGGUCAAUAAUGGGCUGCAUAUAUGGUGGUGGUCCUGUAAGAUUAUAAUGGACCUGAAAAAUCCCCAUUGCCUAAUAACAUAGCUUUUGUCACAUAGCACAGACCCGUGGGUGUGGUGAUGCUGGUGUAAACAAACCUACCACACUGCCAGCCUUAUGAAAGUAUAGCACAUGCAUUACGUACAGUACAUAAUACUUUAUAAUGAUAAUAAGUGUUCCUUAUGUGUUUACUAUACUUUUAAUUGUUAUUUUAGAGGGUACUGCUUCUACUUAUAUUUUUAAAACUUAACUGUAAAAGCACCUCAGGCAGGUCCUUUGGCAGGUAUUCCAGAAGAAGCAUUGUCAUCAUAGGAGAUGACAGCUCCGUGUGUGUUAUUGCUGCUGAAGACCUUCCAGUGGGACAAGAUGUGGAAGUGGAAGACAGUGAUAUUGAUGAUCCUGACCUGUGCAGGUCUAGGCUAAGAUAACUCAGCCUACUUAAAGCCCACCAGAAAGUCAGCCAACAAAUCUCCCAACUCACUCACCCACCAUCAACCCGUAAACUCUCCAGCAUGUAUUGAAGGCCUACCUUGUUGUGCUUGAUACAGUGUUUGGUGCCAUGUGAAAUGACAAAGCAGGACCAGACAGCGUCCCUGCCACCCUGGUGCUUGUAAUCUAGUUGGAGAGAUACGAUAAAAAUAAAUGACACAAUUACAGAAUCUGACAGAAUGUAAUAAAGUGCUAAAUUGUGUGGUACAGACAAUUAGAGAACAAGACAGUAUAUAAUAAAGUGCUAAUUGUGUGGUACAGACAAUAAGUAUAAUAGGAGUUCAGUGAAGGGAUAGAUGAGUGUGGGCUGCAGUCUUCAGGGAAGGCUUCUCAUCAUGUCAGUGCUGCCGUGUUUAUCCAGUGCAUGACGGGAAAUGGAAUAUGAAAUAGAAGAUGGAUUAUGAGCAGAAUAAUGGUGCUGAACUGUGGUAUCUCUUCUCAGGCUGGAUGAACACAGAAAGAGUCCUUUGAAAGGUAGCAUUCUCCAUUAAAAAAAAUCAAAUAGAGAAAUACCUUAUUUUCUUUAUUAGUUGUGUUAUAGAUAAUUUCUACAGAAACUUAAAAUCAGAUUUUAAAUUGAAUAAUGUUUUCAAUGUACCAGGAUGCUCACUGUUUAAAGGAGCCAUGUUGUAAAUCCUUUUCAUAAAUGAAAAAUACUUUUGCAUUAUUGAUGAUCACUUGUUUAUACAAAAUUCCUCAAAGCUAAUAGUAAAUAGGUACUCUCAUACACUACUGGUGGGAUUGAUGAACCUUUUACAAGGUAACUUGGCAAUGUGUACCUAAAAUUUUGACAACGUGCAUAUUGUUCAACCAAUCAGUUUCACUUCUGGGAAUUUAUCCUAAGGACGUAGUAAUCAUAGGUGACUGCAAGAAUAAUUUUACUACAAUGAUAAUUAUCACAGCAUUAGGAUAAACUGGGAACAAUCUAAAUGCCCCCAAAGAGAGGACUGAUGAAAUAAACACAUAUUUAUAAAAUGGAAUGUAUAGUCACUAAAGUGUUACUGUAAAAAUAGGUAAUGCUGUGGGAAAUGUUCACAACAUAUAGAUAAGAGAAAAAGCAAAUUUGAAAACUUGAAGAGUAUGAUUCCAUUUUGUUAAAAUGUGUUUUAUGGCUAAAAACAUGUUUUAUUCACAGAAACAUAUUUGAGUGGUGAGGUGAUACGUGAUUUCCACUUCUUUAUGCUUUUUUGAAAUUUCCAAAUGUUUUCCAAGUUACAUGGUUUAUUUUGUAAUAAGACAUAUAUUAAAAUUCUACAGUUCUCUGAUUUAAUUUGCUUUGAAAGUUGUGAUUGUCAUAAUUUAGAUUGCCAUCUCUAGAGCCAAAGGUCUUGUGGGACAAGUAAGUUCUGGGACCAGAGACAAACACGAGAAGUAUUAUUCCUUUUUCUUUUGAAUUAUAAAUGAUUUAUAUUAGCAAAAUGUAUACCUUCUUUCCUUAAACUCAUAUUCAUGUGGGAGCUGUUUGGGAGGGACACAUACUCUUUAAGGCUUAUACAACGUGAAUUUUUAGCAGCAGAGCCUGCCAGAGUGGGUGGAAAGCCCAGGGCAUGGAUUAAUUUUUAAGACGUCUGGAAUACUAAAAAUAAAAAUAAGAAAAAUGUAGAAGUAAGUGUAGAUGUGCUGAAACAGAGUUUCAAAAAUUGUGAUGAUUUUAAAUGUUUAUCUUGAACAAACUGAUGCCUUUAACACACAGUAUACAGGAACAGAAAGUAAAGCUUCAUGGUGACAUUAUGUCAAAGGCUAGAAUUGGAGAUCUUUGGUGCAUGCAGGAUCAAGGCCAAAUUAGGCUCUGCCUGGAAACCAUGCAGAGGAUGUGGAAUUAUUGAAAAAAAUAAGAAAAUAUGUAGAGAGGAUUUUGGAAUUUCUGGUCCAAGGGAUUUUCCAUGUCUAAAGUGAAAACAAAAUAGUUUUCUUCUGUUCCAAGAACUUUAUUUAGAACUGUUUUGAAAGGGGCCUUUCUCUGAAACAUUUCAAUACAAAACCACAUUAUUUUCUCAUCCUAUGACUCUAUGUCUUCCAUUCCCUAGGUUUUGACUAAUUUAAGGUUUUAAAAUAGACGUUUCAACCCUUUCUAGUUAAUAAUUUUCUAUUUUAACCUCAUCAUCUAGCCUUUCAUCUAUGACUUGGCCCGGUAAAACAUAGCAAGUCAGAAUUUUACUUCCUUCCUGUGCCCAAAAAAUAUAAAGAAAAUCCUUGAAUACCCAGGUUUUUGGGAAGUCCAACCUUAGCCAAAACUGGGAACUGUUUGCCUUUCUUUGGAGAACCCGUCCUGUAGAAAGAAUGAGCUGGGCGGCAUCCCUGAAGUACAAGUCAGGAGAACUUGUUCCUGGACAUUCCCUUGUCUCCAACUAAUUUGGAUGAAUUCACCACUCUGUGCUUCAGUUUUUUUCGUGGCAUAGUACAGUGCUCACAUGGAGGAUGAUGGCAGGUGUGAGGUAAUUAAAAUAUUUCUGACAACAUGGCAGACUAGCUGACAUGGAGAAGCCUUCUCUCCCACUACUGUCACAUAGAAAAUCUAG
Molecule: non-coding RNA, 4238 nt
Organism: Chlorocebus sabaeus (green monkey)
Lineage: Eukaryota; Metazoa; Chordata; Mammalia; Primates; Cercopithecidae
Source: RefSeq, a predicted model, not a curated record